UCCGAAUGGGGAAACCCAGUGUGACUCGUCACACUAUCAUUAACUGAAUCCAUAGGUUAAUGAGGCGAACCGGGGGAACUGAAACAUCUAAGUACCCCGAGGAAAAGAAAUCAACCGAGAUUCCCCCAGUAGCGGCGAGCGAACGGGGAGGAGCCCAGAGCCUGAAUCAGCAUGUGUGUUAGUGGAAGCGUCUGGAAAGGCGCGCGAUACAGGGUGACAGCCCCGUACACAAAAGCGCAUGUGUUGUGAGCUCGAUGAGUAGGGCGGGACACGUGGUAUCCUGUCUGAAUAUGGGGGGACCAUCCUCCAAGGCUAAAUACUCCUGACUGACCGAUAGUGAACCAGUACCGUGAGGGAAAGGCGAAAAGAACCCCGGCGAGGGGAGUGAAAAAGAACCUGAAACCGUGUACGUACAAGCAGUGGGAGCACCCUUUGGGGUGUGACUGCGUACCUUUUGUAUAAUGGGUCAGCGACUUAUAUUCUGUAGCAAGGUUAACCGAAUAGGGGAGCCGGAGGGAAACCGAGUCUUAAUUGGGCGUUAAGUUGCAGGGUAUAGACCCGAAACCCGGUGAUCUAGCCAUGGGCAGGUUGAAGGUUGGGUAACACUAACUGGAGGACCGAACCGACUAAUGUUGAAAAAUUAGCGGAUGACCUGUGGCUGGGGGUGAAAGGCCAAUCAAACCGGGAGAUAGCUGGUUCUCCCCGAAAGCUAUUUAGGUAGCGCCUCGUGAAUUCAUCUCCGGGGGUAGAGCACUGUUUCGGCUAGGGGGCCAUCCCGGCUUACCAACCCGAUGCAAACUGCGAAUACCGGAGAAUGUUAUCACGGGAGACACACGGCGGGUGCUAACGUCCGUCGUGAAGAGGGAAACAACCCAGACCGCCAGCUAAGGUCCCAAAGUCAUGGUUAAGUGGGAAACGAUGUGGGAAGGCCCAGACAGCCAGGAUGUUGGCUUAGAAGCAGCCAUCAUUUAAAGAAAGCGUAAUAGCUCACUGGUCGAGUCGGCCUGCGCGGAAGAUGUAACGGGGCUAAACCAUGCACCGAAGCUGCGGCAGCGACACUAUGUGUUGUUGGGUAGGGGAGCGUUCUGUAAGCCUGUGAAGGUGUGUCGUGAGGCAUGCUGGAGGUAUCAGAAGUGCGAAUGCUGACAUAAGUAACGAUAAAGCGGGUGAAAAGCCCGCUCGCCGGAAGACCAAGGGUUCCUGUCCAACGUUAAUCGGGGCAGGGUGAGUCGACCCCUAAGGCGAGGCCGAAAGGCGUAGUCGAUGGGAAACGGGUUAAUAUUCCCGUACUUGGUGUUACUGCGAAGGGGGGACGGAGAAGGCUAUGUUGGCCGGGCGACGGUUGUCCCGGUUUAAGCGUGUAGGUGUGUGUUCCAGGUAAAUCCGGUUCACUUUAACACUGAGGCGUGACGACGAGGCACUACGGUGCUGAAGCAACAAAUGCCCUGCUUCCAGGAAAAGCCUCUAAGCAUCAGGUAACAUCAAAUCGUACCCCAAACCGACACAGGUGGUCAGGUAGAGAAUACCAAGGCGCUUGAGAGAACUCGGGUGAAGGAACUAGGCAAAAUGGUGCCGUAACUUCGGGAGAAGGCACGCUGACACGUAGGUGAAGUGAUUUACUCAUGGAGCUGAAGUCAGUCGAAGAUACCAGCUGGCUGCAACUGUUUAUUAAAAACACAGCACUGUGCAAACACGAAAGUGGACGUAUACGGUGUGACGCCUGCCCGGUGCCGGAAGGUUAAUUGAUGGGGUCAGCGCAAGCGAAGCUCCUGAUCGAAGCCCCGGUAAACGGCGGCCGUAACUAUAACGGUCCUAAGGUAGCGAAAUUCCUUGUCGGGUAAGUUCCGACCUGCACGAAUGGCGUAAUGAUGGCCAGGCUGUCUCCACCCGAGACUCAGUGAAAUUGAACUCGCUGUGAAGAUGCAGUGUACCCGCGGCAAGACGGAAAGACCCCGUGAACCUUUACUAUAGCUUGACACUGAACAUUGAGCCUUGAUGUGUAGGAUAGGUGGGAGGCUUUGAAGUGUGGACGCCAGUCUGCAUGGAGCCGACCUUGAAAUACCACCCUUUAAUGUUUGAUGUUCUAACGUGGACCCGUGAUCCGGGUUGCGGACAGUGUCUGGUGGGUAGUUUGACUGGGGCGGUCUCCUCCUAAAGAGUAACGGAGGAGCACGAAGGUUGGCUAAUCCUGGUCGGACAUCAGGAGGUUAGUGCAAUGGCAUAAGCCAGCUUGACUGCGAGCGUGACGGCGCGAGCAGGUGCGAAAGCAGGUCAUAGUGAUCCGGUGGUUCUGAAUGGAAGGGCCAUCGCUCAACGGAUAAAAGGUACUCCGGGGAUAACAGGCUGAUACCGCCCAAGAGUUCAUAUCGACGGCGGUGUUUGGCACCUCGAUGUCGGCUCAUCACAUCCUGGGGCUGAAGUAGGUCCCAAGGGUAUGGCUGUUCGCCAUUUAAAGUGGUACGCGAGCUGGGUUUAGAACGUCGUGAGACAGUUCGGUCCCUAUCUGCCGUGGGCGCUGGAGAACUGAGGGGGGCUGCUCCUAGUACGAGAGGACCGGAGUGGACGCAUCACUGGUGUUCGGGUUGUCAUGCCAAUGGCACUGCCCGGUAGCUAAAUGCGGAAGAGAUAAGUGCUGAAAGCAUCUAAGCACGAAACUUGCCCCGAGAUGAGUUCUCCCUGAGACUUAAAGUCUCCUGAAGGAACGUUGAAGACGACGACGUUGAUAGGCCGG
Molecule: ribosomal RNA, 2731 nt
Filed under: Salmonella enterica subsp. enterica serovar Newport
Lineage: Bacteria; Pseudomonadati; Pseudomonadota; Gammaproteobacteria; Enterobacterales; Enterobacteriaceae
Description: partial 23S ribosomal RNA
Rfam family: Bacterial large subunit ribosomal RNA
Source: RNAcentral